This 73-nucleotide transfer RNA is filed under the name Vicugna pacos (alpaca). RNAcentral's name for it is "tRNA-Ala (AGC) (tRNA-Ala-AGC-76-1)". It matches the Rfam family "tRNA". From Rfam's summary of the family: Transfer RNA (tRNA) molecules are approximately 80 nucleotides in length. Their secondary structure includes four short double-helical elements and three loops (D, anti-codon, and T loops). Lineage: Eukaryota; Metazoa; Chordata; Mammalia; Artiodactyla; Camelidae. The record is from RNAcentral.
GGAGGGUAUAGCUCAGUGGUAGAGCACAUGCUUAGCAUGCAUGAGGUCCUGGGUUCAAUCCCCAGUGCCUCCA